CGUGGAGUGAUUUGUCUGGUUUAUUCCGAUAACGAGCGAGACUCUAACCUACUAAAUAGUUGAUAUUUCUUUAUAAGAGUAUACAACUUCUUAGAGGGAUUUGCGGUGUUUAGCCGAAAGAAAUUGAGCAAUAACAGGUCUGUGAUGCCCUUAGAUGUCCGGGGCUGCACGCGCGCUACACUGAAAGAAUCAGUGUGCGUUACGCCCAGUUCGGAAGAACCGGGUAACCCAAGUAAAUUCUUUCGUGCUUGGGAUAGGGAAUUGCAACUAUUUCCCUUAAACGAGGAAUUCCCAGUAAAUGCGGGUCAUAAGCUCACGUUGAAUACGUCCCUGCCCUUUGUAC
RNAcentral lists this ribosomal RNA (343 nucleotides) under Nematoda environmental sample. RNAcentral's name for it is "bacterial SSU rRNA". It matches the Rfam family "Eukaryotic small subunit ribosomal RNA", at positions 1300 to 1665 of the family's 1831-position model. Lineage: Eukaryota; Metazoa; Nematoda. The record is from RNAcentral.